GUGCUUGCUUCAGCAGCACAUAUCCUAAAGUUGGAAGGAGGCAGGGAAUAUUAACAUGGCCACAGUGCAAGAACAACACAAAAUUUCCUGGAGCAUUCGAAACCUAG
RNAcentral lists this small nuclear RNA (107 nucleotides) under Rattus norvegicus (Norway rat). The record is from RNAcentral. Lineage: Eukaryota; Metazoa; Chordata; Mammalia; Rodentia; Muridae.